RNAcentral lists this ribosomal RNA (407 nucleotides) under uncultured bacterium. RNAcentral's name for it is "partial 16S ribosomal RNA". It matches the Rfam family "Bacterial small subunit ribosomal RNA", at positions 29 to 526 of the family's 1533-position model. The record is from RNAcentral.
AAUGAACGCUGGCGGCAGGCCUAACACAUGCAAGUCGAGCGGAGCGGCGGACGGGUGAGUAAUGCCUAGGAAUCUGCCUGGUAGUGGGGGAUAACGUCCGGAAACGGGCGCUUAUACCGCAUACUAUCAGAUGAGCCUAGGUCGGAUUACCUAGUUGGUGGGGUAAAGGCCUACCAAGGCGACGAUCCGUAACUGGUCUGAGAGGAGGAUCAGUCAGACUGGAACUGGGGCACGGUCCAGAGUCCUACGGAAGGCAGAAGUGGGGAAUAUUGGACAAUGGGAGAAAGACUGAUCCAGCCAGGCCGCUUGUGUGAAGAAGGUCUUCGGAUUGUAAAGCACUUUAAGUUGGGAGGCGUUACCAACAGAAUAAGCACCGGCUAACUUCGUGCCAGCAGCCGCGGUAAUUC